GACGAACGCUGGCGGCGUGCCUAAUACAUGCAAGUAGAACGCUGAAGGAGGAGCUUGCUUCUCUGGAUGAGUUGCGAACGGGUGAGUAACGCGUAGGUAACCUGCCUGGUAGCGGGGGAUAACUAUUGGAAACGAUAGCUAAUACCGCAUAAUAGUAGAUGUUGCAUGACAUUUGCUUAAAAGGUGCAAUUGCAUCACUACCAGAUGGCCCUGCGUUGUAUUAGCUAGUUGGUGGGGUAACGGCUCACCAAGGCGACGAUACAUAGCCGACCUGAGAGGGUGAUCGGCCACACUGGGACUGAGACACGGCCCAGACUCCUACGGGAGGCAGCAGUAGGGAAUCUUCGGCAAUGGACGGAAGUCUGACCGAGCAACGCCGCGGGAGUGAAGAAGGUUUUCGGAUCGUAAAGCUCGGUUGUAAGAGAAGAACGAGUGUGAGAGUGGAAAGUUCACACUGUGACGGUAGCUUACCAGAAAGGGACGGCUAACUACGUG
Molecule: ribosomal RNA, 495 nt
Filed under: uncultured bacterium
Lineage: Bacteria
Description: partial 16S ribosomal RNA
Rfam family: Bacterial small subunit ribosomal RNA
Source: RNAcentral